GGGCAAUGCUUUUCCUCCAGAAUCCAGAAGGAAGAAAAAUUUAAAAGGAAACAAAAAAAGAACUAAAUUUACACAGCCACAUCAGAAGCUUCUUUUUAAACUGACUUAAAAAAAAAUACAUGGAAAUAUUGUUAAUUAUUAACUUAAAUGCUUAAAGGACUGGAAAAAGUUUAUUUUUGAAUCAUUAUUACUCAUUCAGAGACAAGCUUCUCUCUCACGAGACUACACAAUUUUGAUAAGGGAUAUACAUGCAAACACUACAUUUCCUUUAGGAACAAGAACAUUCCCUGACAAUGUUUUGGGUAACCUUAAUAAGCUAAUGAUUAUGCUAUUUUAUUCUUAGCUUAUUUCCAGCACAGUUAAACAUCAGUUUGAUCUAUAUUUCUAACAUCUAUUUUUCAGGGAGUCAAACAUCUCAACACUUGGUAUCUCUGCUUUGGCAUUGUAUUAAAUCCAAAGGAAAGUGCUUACUCAUGGACAGGACAGUUGAAAAGAGUUGAAGUUCAUGUUUCUAGAGUCUUAACCUGAAAUUGAGGGCAAUAUGUAUUGUAAGUAUGCUUUCAGACACAAUGAUGCUGAUGGGACUGUAGAAAAAGAUGCUAAUUGUGAAGCAUAUUUUUCAGGUAGAGUAAUUCAGUAGUGUCAUUCAGGUGUAACUCAUCAAAGUGAUGAAUUGCAUUAUUUUCCCUUAAAAAACGUGAGAUAAGACAACAGCAGUUAGGUUUGCUGUGAUUCAACUGCAAAGAGGUUAUAAAGAGAAUACUUUUUAGUCAACCAUUUUAAAAGACACAGGUUUUGUAAACAGCUGGCAAUGAUACAGGUUAAGGAGGCUGAUUAAUUCACUCUGGUUGUUGUCACAGAGAUAUUAAAAAUUACUAGACUUGUGGUGAAUAUUGCUAAGUUCAUUGAAAGGGGAUAUAUUUCCUCAGUGUUGGAAUGGUUGUUGACUAGACAAGUGCUCAUUUCUCACUGGUUUUACAGAGGCAGUUGGACAUCUCUUGGAUUUCUCCUCUCCUCAACUUUGCCAUCUAGAUUUAAUAUGGGUCAAGAGUGGAAUCAGACUUAGAAAUGAACACACAAAGGCUACAAAUUUAUUUUCUCUCUUCAUCUCAGCUCCUUCAAGAGCUCCUCUACCCUGAUGAAAAAUCCUUGUGGCCCAAG
RNAcentral lists this long non-coding RNA (1161 nucleotides) under Anser cygnoides (Swan goose). Its description in RNAcentral is "lncRNA (ENSACDG00005005522.1)". The record is from RNAcentral. Lineage: Eukaryota; Metazoa; Chordata; Aves; Anseriformes; Anatidae.